Molecule: ribosomal RNA, 427 nt
Filed under: uncultured bacterium
Lineage: Bacteria
Description: partial 16S ribosomal RNA
Rfam family: Bacterial small subunit ribosomal RNA
Source: RNAcentral
UGGGGAAUAUUGCACAAUGGGCGCAAGCCUGAUGCAGCCAUGCCGCGUGUAUGAAGAAGGCCUUCGGGUUGUAAAGUACUUUCAGCGGGGAUGAAGGGAGUAAAGUUAAUACCUUUGCUCAUUGACGUUACCCGCAGAAGAAGCACCGGCUAACUCCGUGCCAGCAGCCGCGGUAAUACGGAGGGUGCAAGCGUUAACCGGAAUUACUGGGCGUAAAGCGCACGCAGGCGGUUUGUUAAGUCAGAUGUGAAAUCCCCGGGCUCAACCUGGGAACUGCAUCUGAUACUGGCAAGCUUGAGUCUCGUAGAGGGGGGUAGAAUUCCAGGUGUAGCGGUGAAAUGCGUAGAGAUCUGGAGGAAUACCGGUGGCGAAGGCGGCCCCCUGGACGAAGACUGACGCUCAGGUGCGAAAGCGUGGGGAGCAAACA